UCCGAUCCCGCUAGUCGCCUUUUAAGAGAAGCAUGGGUUACUGAAGAUCAAUUCCAACCCGGAUCUUUACGGGUCGAACUAUUAGUGAACACUAAUCUGAGCAUUGCCAUCGAUAAUAAUGAUUCCGUACACUCUCUUCAAGCCGGAGUUCAAAUAGUGGCCUGUUUCCAGUAUGUCACAUCAUAUCCGAACUCUGGACUUUAAACUUUAAACGGCUGCUUUUCCUCCCACGUUAAACUGAUGCAUCUGUUCACGGAAGCGUUACCCAACUCACACACUGAAACUAUAGCAUUCCAGCAUCAAGCUGCAUGCAAACGCACGAUGAUGACCUUUCAUGUUGCAAUUUAAUCGUGUCAGUGAAUAUCAAGCUAGUAAUUAUUGGCCUUUACAAUAUAUGUGCAGUUUCAACCCGCCCAAGUAUCCCGCCGACCUUAAUGAUUUACAAUUACCUCUUGUACCCGAACGUCAUUUUCUUGUCUGAACACAUUCCACAGCAGAAGAGAUCAACGGGUAAGGACUGCGUGGAGGAUCUGUUUCUACUCCUUAAACAUGGAUGAUGAAUAUUUCAACUCGAGUGACUACACAUACGACUAUGAUUACAGCAGUGAAGCGGCAAUACCAUACGCGACGCCAAUUGUAGUCAACAGCGUUCUACUAUACAUUGGAGUCUGUGCCAACAUAUGGAUGAUCAGGUCUCUCUACAAAUCAUGGAAGACAGGCAGCAGGAUGCAUUUCUACCUCCUUGCCAUUUGUGUUGCUGAUUUGCUGGGCUUGUGUGUUCGAUGCGGAGUCACCAUUGGCGUUCAGGCAACCGUUGUAUGGAGAGGCGGAUAUUAUGGAUGUAAACUUUUGCAGGUUUUCAGAUGUUUGGAGGUACUAUGUCCCAUCUCAUCCUGGCUGGAUUCAAUAUCGAUAAUCUUUUCACCAUCACCUGUAGUCGCUCCAUCAAGGCGUUGCGUAUCGUCUUCCUGCUGUUGUCCGUUGCAACUGCCUUUAUUGCCAGUGCCGUUAAGUUCUACUUCUACCAUCUGUUAAACGCGACGUACAGAAGUCAGGAAAUGUACGUUUGCCUUAUGGAUGUAGAAACUCGUUUUGCUCCGGGUCCAUUGGUGCACAUGGCGGUGUAUUUCCUACUUCCACUUCUCAUGAUGAUACUGAUUGGUCUCCCAUCAUUAUUUGUAUGGUGCUGCAAAAAGGGAACACUCAGCUAUGAGAAGAUGACACGUGACGAUGACUCCUCAACAGACCUUCAGUUCAUUGGCAGAGAUAUUGGAAUAGUGUUGGCUUACGAUGUAGUAUUCUUCCUCUGCUGUGCUCCGGUGACUGGAAAUGAUUGGCUCUUCAGAUAUUAUUCAAUUACGGCACACUUUGUUAUGAUCUUCCUGGAGAUAGCAAACCCAUGUCUCAACCCAUUCAUAUAUGUUCUACUUCUACCAUCUGGUUAACAUGUCGUACAAAGGUGAUGACAUAUACUACUGCCUUAUAGAUUCAGGAGCUGGUUAUCUUGCAGUUCCAGUGGUUCACGUGGCGGUAUAUUUCUUACUUCCACUUCUCAUGAUGAUACUGUUUGGUCUCCCAUCAUUAUUUGUAUGGUGCUGUAAAAAAGGAACACUCAGCUAUGAGAAGAUGACACGUGACGAUGACUCCUCCACAGACCUUCAGUUCAUUGGCAGAGAUAUUGGAAUAGUGUUGGCUUACGAUGUAGUAUUCUUCCUCUGCUGUGCUCCGCUUGUUGGAUAUAAUUGGCUCUACAGGUAAGGUUAUAGUGACCUGAAUACAUUUGGAAGAUCACUACCUGUUACUGAUACGUAUGAUAGAUAAGACAAAGUGGCCUAUGACCAUCCGGGUAAGAAUUGAUACACCCAUGUUUGUCGUAAGACGCGAGGUCAGGUAAUCGGGCGGACUACAUCAUCAUCUACAACAACA
RNAcentral lists this unclassified non-coding RNA (1926 nucleotides) under Haliotis rubra (blacklip abalone). RNAcentral describes it as "thyrotropin-releasing hormone receptor-like, transcript variant X3". Lineage: Eukaryota; Metazoa; Mollusca; Gastropoda; Lepetellida; Haliotidae. The record is from RNAcentral.